Lolium perenne is the source of this 2171-nucleotide long non-coding RNA. RefSeq lists it as uncharacterized. NCBI's taxonomy places the organism in Eukaryota, Viridiplantae, Streptophyta, Magnoliopsida, Poales, Poaceae. The record is from RefSeq and is a predicted model, not a curated record.
ACUAAUCUUGUUAGUUAGUGUCUGAUUUUAGUUCAUGCAUGUAUUAGAUCAAAGAUAGCACGUAGGCUGCGGCAAGUACAUACAUGGGUACAUGCAAGCUGAUGUGUCAGUGUUAGUUAGCUGGCUAUAUCCAAGGCGCAUUGCGUUUGGCCGAGUCAUGUGGUAGACGUUCAGAGAGAAGUAGUAGUCGUUAGUUCUGACAUGUGCUAGCUUCUAGUGAUCAGCAUUGACUUGGUAGUGCCUCACGUCUGUGUGCAUGCACUCGGUAGUGGGAAGUGAUCGAGUGAGUAUAGGAUCAGGCCGUUGUGCCUGGCAUGUGUGCGUGCAUUGUGUCCUAUUUAAGCACUGUAAUCAGUUUGGUUAAGUAUAUGAGAAAGAGUGGAAAAUGUAGCACUUGUGGUUGGGAGUCUCGCGGCAAAGCUUCUGUGUUCUUCCUUGAUACAUGUGUGUGUGUGUUAGCCUGGGUGUGUUCUUGUGAGAGAGUAGAGAGAGGUUGAAGAAGAAGGGGAGCUGCGUGUGGCAGCUCCUACAUUUGGUAUCAGAGCCUCGUGCGAUCGAGGUUGGAGUCUCCAUCAUCGUCAAGCUGCGUCACGAGCGAUGGAGGAAGGUAUGCUGCCCGGUAAGUUGCGUCAUCGGCGGCAAGGAGGUGAUGGCCAAGGUGCGGAGGCCAUUACCGCGAGAAGUUCAUCGUCCAUGUCCGAGUCGUCGACAAGGUGCGUCAUCGGCGGCAACAUGGAGGCGAGUCACCGGCGAGUUGCGGCACCGGUGGCGAACAUGGAGGCGAGCCACCGGCGAGGUGCGGCACCGGCGGCGAACAUGCGGCAUCGAGUGUGUCAUGGCGACACGCUCGCGGUGAAGGCGUAGGUGGUGCGUCUCUCGUCGAGGCCAGCAACGGCGACGGCAAUCGGCGUGACAAGAUGACAUUGGCGGCCGUCUCCGUGUUGCCCCGAUGGCACCGUCGAUAAUGGGCUUCGAGAGAGGAAUAAAUAGUAACAAGAUUAGAGAGGUGAUUGUUGGAACUAAUCUUGUUAGUUAGUGUCUGAUUUUAGUUCAUGCAUGUAUUAGAUCAAAGAUAGCACGUAGGCUGCGGCAAGUACAUACAUGGGUACAUGCAAGCUGAUGUGCCAGUGUUAGUUAGCUGGCUAUAUCCAAGGCGCAUUGCGUUUGGCCGAGUCAUGUGGUAGACGUUCAGAGAGAAGUAGUAGUCGUUAGUUCUGACAUGUGCUAGCUUCUAGUGAUCAGCAUUGACUUGGUAGUGCCUCACGUCUGUGUGCAUGCACUCGGUAGUGGGAAGUGAUCGAGUGAGUAUAGGAUCAGGCCGUUGUGCCUGGCAUGUGUGCGUGCAUUGUGUCCUAUUUAAGCACUGUAAUCAGUUUGGUUAAGUAUAUGAGAAAGAGUGGAAAAUGUAGCACUUGUGGUUGGGAGUCUCGCGGCAAAGCUUCUGUGUUCUUCCUUGAUACAUGUGUGUGUGUGUUAGCCUGGGUGUGUUCUUGUGAGAGAGUAGAGAGAGGUUGAAGAAGAAGGGGAGCUGCGUGUGGCAGCUCCUACAUCGUCGAGGCGGAGAGGUCCGACAGCUGCGCGACGAGGGCCUCGCCUCGUGGCCGUUGGCCGUCUUUUUCAACCACUUCGACAUCUUCACUUGCGACGAAGAAUAUGAUGGCGUCGGCAAGACUGCAACAACAUUUUUAUCAAGGUCCUCGAUCUUCUUUGUUCUACUUCCGGGUUGCUCACAAGGACACAUCUUUGCUAGGUGCUCGAGAAAUGGAAGAUAGCAGAUCCAACAACAACUGAUGCCAUGGUAGAUCAAGUACUCGCCAACAACCCAAAGAAACUCAAGCACUAUCGGGCUAGGAAAACUAAGUUGCAGGGAUUUUUCACUGGCCAAGUGAUAAAUGCAUCCAAUGGUAAAUCAAGUACUUCACUAAAUAUAAUCCUCGGAGAGAAGUUAAAGGUCUUUCGUUGAUAUCAAAGAACACCCAUUUGGGUAUGCGAUCCAGAAAAAUAAAAGAGCUACUCUUGAGAGGUGUUUCAGCUUAUCAAGUGGUCCUUGAUAGGCGGAGCAUCCAAUGAGUGAAACCCUGCAGUGGGAGCUAAAUUUUCUGGGCUAAAACAUCUCCAAUUUGGAUUUGGUCAUUGUAGUUCUCACAUUGGAUUUGGGAUGUGAUUAUGUU